This is a long non-coding RNA of Myodes glareolus (Bank vole), 5063 nucleotides long. RefSeq lists it as uncharacterized. The record is from RefSeq and is a predicted model, not a curated record. Lineage: Eukaryota; Metazoa; Chordata; Mammalia; Rodentia; Cricetidae.
UCGCCCGCUGCAAAGGAAUGUAAGGAACGAAGUCAGCUGAAAAGAGGGCAUUACUUUCCUCCCGACUUUAUUGCGUCUCCUACUGGUCUACUGGGGGGUGGGGGGCAGCCUGGCAUUCUGUGUGAGAGCUAGGAUGAUUAGAAAGGCCUUCCCCUAGCUACCUCACGCCUUUACUGAGAUGGCUAAGGUUGUGCGUUACUUAACUUAAAAUGUCUUGCUUGUGGCUGGCCCUGGAGGGAAGGCUUAAAGCGACAGAUUACUUCUAGCCAAGCCCAUAUUCGACCCUUUUAUUAGCUGGACAUCCCUGGCCGCUGCCCUCCAUGCUGUACAAUGGACCUGAUGAAGAAUUCAAGGCAGUCCGGUACCUAUGACAGGCGCAACAGCUGCUGCCCAUUAGCUCUCCUAGGCCAGCUCCCUUGGAACCUCCUCCUCUGUGGUCAUUUAACUUUAAAAGUAUUUCGGUACAUUUAGUUACACCUGUUUCGUACCUUGGUUUACCAUUUCAUCAGCCUUCUCUAACCACUAGGGAAAGUCCCAUCCUAGGAGACUGUAACGACCUAGGCGUGCACAUCUGAAAACUAAUUCUGUCUCCUGCUUGUCACCGAAGUGCUGGGUCCCACCGACAGGAGAAAGGAAAGUAUCCAUGGACUUGUGAAAGGAAAACAGCAAGAUUAAGGACUCUGCCUUGUCUCAAAAAUAGAUCUCCCUUGUGUACACAUCGUCCUUUACCCCUCCCCUAAUAACACUGUAGAAACCUUGCUUUCAUAGGUCCUACAUCAAUAACCAGGAGAGUGUACAAACUGCAAGAUGGUUGUCCCUCUUUAUCUACCAGGCACCUAAGUUAAAAACCUAAUAACUGCUGACCGUUCUUUGCUUGCCUGCUUUGUCUGUACAUGAGCGCAUGUGGUACAUGUGUGUGUGUGUGUUUGUGUGUGCGCAAGUUAUGCACGCACAGAGGCCAGAGUGUCCUGUUCUGUCAUUCUCUUACAGUAUUGCUUUAAGACAAGGUUUCUCACUGAACCUAGAACGAGACUGGCAGCCAGCCGCUCCAGCAAUCUUCCCCAGCCCCAGCGCUGGAAUUAAGUGGGCAAACAGCCAGGCCUGGCUUUUCAAGUGAGAACUGGGAUUUGAACUCUCCAUGCUUUCGCAGCCAGCAGUCUCCCCCACCAAGCCAUCUCGACAGCCCCUGCUCGGUGCUGUUUUCUUUGCGGCUGUUGUUCUGCUUGUUUUAUUUUUGUUUGUUUGUUUGUUCGUGUGUUUUUCUGUUUUCAGACCGGAUCUUCCUAUCUAAAGAAGUCCGGGCUAGCCAUAACUGUGGCCCAAGUAGUCCUGGACCUAAGAUGUCUCUGCUUUAGCUCUCCAGUUUUGAAAUUAUAGCAUCUCGGUAAUGGCAGGGCCGUGGCCUCCAGCUAUUAUAGCAGCACCUAGAAUUGUACAUCAUGCUUCUGAGAAGGUGCAAUAUGUGGCACGCUAACUCAGGUAAAUAUAAACACAUCUGAGAUGAAGUCAGAGACCCUCAGCAGACUGCCAGCGAAGGCUCCGGAUCUGUCCACAGAGUCACUGGUACCACUUCUGUGCUGGCCACCCGGGCUCUCCUCUGAGGUUUUAAAAUUCAGGGUGAGGGGAGAGCAGAAGAAGAUGAGGGUUCCACACUUGCCAGAGCCCAUAAUCCACAUAAAGGUAAGACCGGCGCUGCAAAGAACCUUCCGGGGACAUCUAAGACGUGAAUAAAGACAGCCGGGUUAAAGGCUAAACUCUAGCAAAGACAACAGAACUUCAACGAUGUGCAGUUCUGUGAAACUACCAACACAUUGAAGACAUUUUUUGAGCAUGUUUGCUCACUACUGUUUCACUAGAAACAGUAACAGAGCUUAGUCUGUUACAAAAUCAGGAAAAUCAUGAGUUUACAUUGGGUAAUAUAUUGCCCAAUGCUUAGUAAUAAAUAUUCUGAUGAAUAAAAGGGAAACAUAACUCUAAAAUUUCCAAGGUAGUUCUCCCUUUCCCUCCUCCUCACCCCUCUCCUCCAUCUCUCUUUGCGUGUGCAUGAGUGUGUGUGUGUGUGUGUGUGUGUGCGCGUGUGUGUGUCUCCUCCCUUCUCCUUUCCCCCUCUCCCUCUCUCCUGUGUGUGAUGAGUGUUCUUGUCCAAAGAGAAGCCUUUCAACUUCAAAAGACGUCAUGAGAUGUGUUUUGGAAUCACUUCCCAAGUAACUGGGAGGGGUUCAGCCUCUGCCUCUAAAGCUGCCUGAGGAAGGGUCCCUAGCUUUAUCUCGAUGCUCAUUGGAAAGACUGCUGUGAUGCCCUUGGGGAUUAAGGAGAGAGAUUUCAGAUGUGGAACUUCAAGGCAGCAAAGUAGAGCUGAGACCUGGCUCAGGUGGUGAAGUACUUCCCUCAAAAGCAUGGGGACCAGGGUUCAUAUCCUUAGCACUCUCCUAAAGGCUGGGCGGGGAGCUACAUGCCAAUCAUUCCAGCUAUCUUAAGGCAUAGGUAGGCAGGUCUCUGGAAAUUUAAAGUUAACUUGGUCUAUGUAGCAAGUUCUGGGCCAGGAUUACCUAAAGACCCUGUCUCUAAACAAACAAACAAAUAAGUAAAUAUAAGGUCAUAUUCUGGGUACUGGAGGCUACUGGGUAGAUUUUGGCAUGUAAAUAGGGGCGGGGGCGUGGUUUAACCUUGAACCAUCUUCUGGGAGUUGACAGAAGGGGUUGGAAAGACGUGGAAUGUGGCAAGAGGUGAACAGAGCUAGCAACGGGUCUGGAUUUUAUUCCGUGGGUAGAGGGAAUUGUGAAGGGGUCUGCGUGGGAUCCACCUAUGGUUUCAAAAUCAUGCUGUCAAUUUCCCAAUCGCCUCUUGAGCAUCAAAGAAAUUUCUCAACUUGCCGGCCUUUUGGAGGAAUUCGCAACUGCUCCUAAUUGCCUUUCUGUCCGUGACUUGAGAAAUUUGCUGAAACACUGUUUUCUGGUCAUUGUUUUCAAUUCUGUCUUAUAAGUUCGUAGGGCAGAAUACUCAUUUCUGUCUACUCUCCUCUAAUUUCCUUCUCCAUGGGUAAAUGAAGUGAAUUUAAUUAAUGGCUUUACACCACAUACCCAAGUAACCUUAUGGGGGGGGGGGGGGCAAAUUUCAGGCAUACACUUUGUCCUCAGUUUUUUUGGGUAAAAAGUGAUGAUUUUUAGAGAUUGUGUCAUGACUUUUAAAAAAAAAAUCAAUAUUCAUUCCAGAAUUAUAGUGGUUCCGGGGUAUGGUUUGAUUUCUAACAUUGUUCGGAUUUUUUUUUCCCAUGAAAAAAAAAUCUUUUUGUAAUAGUUCCUACAAUUUUUAAAUUUUAUUGACAUAGGUGGAACUUCGUAACUUAACAACUGUUUAUUUUUGAUUUUCAAACUAUGGAUUCUGGCUUUAAGCUCCACUCUUGAUGUAUGUUUUGAACUUAGGCCUGGAGAAGUCCAUACUGGCCUUAAAUUUGUUAUGUAGCCUCCACCGCCAAAGCUCUGGGGUUACAGGUGCACGCCUCUACGGCUGUCGGUUUGCCCUCAUUUCUAACCAAAUAGGUUUCCUUUUUACCUGUUUGAUAACAUUGCAGUUCUGGACUGGGAAAGAGAGGCUGUUGGUUGAAACGCAGAAGAUAAAGAGAUAAACUAUUACAAUCCAGUAGUCACCCUUCAAUUCCAGAUCGCAGGAGAUAGGAAAGAAAACACAACCAGCCACGUCCAAGACACCGUAAAGCAGAAGGAAGUGCUCCAACCAAGCCGCACAAGGCUGUGCAGGCAUGGGCAACACUGAUGGAGUUCUAUGGGGUGAACCUAGGACCGCACGAAGUGAGCCCAGCCAUGUCAGGAUUACCAGCUUAACGGGCCCAUCAUUGCUCACAGUAUCCCCAUAUUAUCUCCCUUUUAUUUGUUUCCUGUCCCUUUCUGGAUGAGGACUUUUCAGUCAUGUGAAACUGGCUGAAUCACAGCGCAUGCUUCACGAUACCUGCGGCUGAUGCCAGCCAUGCUGCCGUGAAAUGUCCUGCUGGAUUCUUUUCCCUGACUGAGAAACUGGCCCUGUCAUCUCUCAUGGUACUUACAUCUGAUCACAUAAACACUUUCUCAUUUGUGAACAUUUUCGUUCAUUAUGAACCUAAGUGUGACAGUGGACACAAAAUUAAAUUUUUAUGUGAAUACCUCAAUGAAUAUCAUUCAUAAACCCAAAGGAAUUCUUCAAAAUGUCAACAGUUCUCUUUGAAUAAAUUACUUCCUUUUCUUCUGGAACUUUCCCAUUUGCCCCCAUACCAUCUAUUCUGCUUGCCUGAUGAUUUCCAUGUACAAUGAAAAUUAUUUUUCAACUUAAAAGUAAUACUUGAUUAUUGAUUUCAUUUUAAACAACAUAAAAUCUGGGAUUCUUUUUCAGAAAUUUACUCCAUAGCACUUUUAUGAAUUUUAUGUAAACUCCCUAAAACCUUUAGUUGUUUGUUCCACGGUAUUCAAAAAGAAAGCACUGAGCUCCCACAUCCAAGAUACCAUGCACACAGUACUCGACGGUGUUUAAAAUCCAUAUAUCUUCAAGUUACACUAAAGAUCAUCUUCCUGCAAUUGCUUUAUAAUGUCUUAGCUAUUUUUCAAAAUCAUUUGUUCCUUUUAAAUAUUCACUCCCGAAGGAACGUCUGUGACAUGUAAGAAAUAAAUACAGACAAGCACAGUUUCUGGAAUUCGAUGCUCACAAAAUAUGAAAAUAACAUAAUUCGCGUUCAAAACUUAAGCACCGUGUUUUAAGUGUGUUAUUUGAAAGAGUUCAAGGAAAUCUAAUCACAAUGAAAAAGUCUAUUCUAGUUCUUAAUUUCACUUCAGUUAUGUGCAAGUUCAAUUACUAGAUUCUGAGAAGUCCAGUUCAAGGAGCUGACAAGCUGACUCGUAGGUAAAGGCGCAUGUUACUUGGGCCUGACAACCUGAGCUCCAUUUCUGGAACCUACAAAGCCCUGACUUCAGGACGAAAUUCUCUCACUUCCACAUACAUGCCAUUGCACACAUGCACCCUACCCAGUACAUACAUCAUGCACACAUGUGCCCACACUAAUAAAGCAUAAACCUUUUAAA